Molecule: Y RNA, 101 nt
Filed under: Saimiri boliviensis boliviensis (Bolivian squirrel monkey)
Lineage: Eukaryota; Metazoa; Chordata; Mammalia; Primates; Cebidae
Description: Y RNA (ENSSBOG00000006994.1)
Rfam family: Y RNA
About the family: Y RNAs are components of the Ro ribonucleoprotein particle (Ro RNP), in association with Ro60 and La proteins. The Y RNAs and Ro60 and La proteins are well conserved, but the function of the Ro RNP is not known. In humans the RNA component can be one of four small RNAs -- hY1, hY3, hY4 and hY5.
Source: Rfam by way of RNAcentral
GGCUUGUCCAAGUGCAGUGGUGUUUACAACUAAAUGAUCACAACCAGUUAUAGAUAUAUUUGUUCUUCUCCACUCCCACUGCUUCGCUUCACUACCCUUAA